AUUGAACGCUGGCGGCAUGCCUUACACAUGCAAGUCGAAUGGCAGCACGGGAGCAAUCCUGGUGGCGAGUGGCGAACGGGUGAGUAAUAUAUCGGAACGUGCCCAAUCGUGGGGGAUAACGUAGCGAAAGCUACGCUAAUACCGCAUACGAUCUAUGGAUGAAAGCGGGGGAUCGCAAGACCUCGCGCGAUUGGAGCGGCCGAUAUCAGAUUAGGUAGUUGGUGGGGUAAAAGCCUACCAAGCCUUCGAUCUGUAGCUGGUCUGAGAGGACGACCAGCCACACUGGAACUGAGACACGGUCCAGACUCCUACGGGAGGCAGCAGUGGGGAAUUUUGGACAAUGGGCGCAAGCCUGAUCCAGCAAUGCCGCGUGCAGGAUGAAGGCCUUCGGGUUGUAAACUGCUUUUGUACGGAACGAAACGGUUCUUUCUAAUAAAGAGGGCUAAUGACGGUACCGUAAGAAUAAGCACCGGCUAACUACGUGCCAGCAGCCGCGGUAAUACGUAGGGUGCGAGCGUUAAUCGGAAUUACUGGGCGUAAAGCGUGCGCAGGCGGUUAUGUAAGACAGAUGUGAAAUCCCCGGGCUCAACCUGGGACCUGCAUUUGUGACUGCAUAGCUAGAGUACGGUAGAGGGGGAUGGAAUUCCGCGUGUAGCAGUGAAAUGCGUAGAUAUGCGGAGGAACACCGAUGGCGACGCAAUCCCCUGGACCUGUACUGACGCUCAUGCACGAAAGCGUGGGGAGCAAACAGGAUUAGAUACCCUGGUAGUCCACGCCCUAAACGAUGUCAACUAGGUGUUGGGUGGGUAAAACCAUUUAGUACCGGAGCUAACGCGUGAAGUUGACCGCCUGGGGAGUACGCGCAAGUUAAAACUCAAAGGAAUGACGGG
RNAcentral lists this ribosomal RNA (890 nucleotides) under uncultured bacterium. RNAcentral describes it as "bacterial SSU rRNA". It matches the Rfam family "Bacterial small subunit ribosomal RNA", at positions 28 to 917 of the family's 1533-position model. The record is from RNAcentral.